AACGAACGCUGGCGGCAUGCCUAACACAUGCAAGUCGAACGAGACCUUCGGGUCUUGUGGCGCACGGGUGCGUAACGCGUGGGAAUCUGCCCUUGGGUUCGGAAUAACAGUGAGAAAUUACUGCUAAUACCGGAUGAUGUCUUCGGACCAAAGAUUUAUCGCCCAGGGAUGAGCCCGCGUAGGAUUAGCUAGUUGGUGGGGUAAUGGCCUACCAAGGCGACGAUCCUUAGCUGGUCUGAGAGGAUGAUCAGCCACACUGGGACUGAGACACGGCCCAGACUCCUACGGGAGGCAGCAGUGGGGAAUAUUGGACAAUGGGCGCAAGCCUGAUCCAGCAAUGCCGCGUGAGUGAUGAAGGCCUUAGGGUUGUAAAGCUCUUUUACCCGGGAUGAUAAUGACAGUACCGGGAGAAUAAGCUCCGGCUAACUCCGUG
RNAcentral lists this ribosomal RNA (433 nucleotides) under uncultured bacterium. Its description in RNAcentral is "partial 16S ribosomal RNA". It matches the Rfam family "Bacterial small subunit ribosomal RNA", at positions 29 to 507 of the family's 1533-position model. The record is from RNAcentral.